UCGAGAAUCUUCCGCAAUGGACGCAAGUCUGACGGAGCGACGCCGCGUGAUCGAUGAAGUCUUUCGGGAUGUAAAGAUCUUUUAUCAGGGAGGACAUAGCGACGGUACCUGAUGAAUAAGGAGCUGCCAAUCUCGUGCCAGCAGCAGCGGUAAUACGAGAGCUCCAAGCGUUAUCCGGAAUUACUGGGCGUAAAGCGUAUGUAGGCGGCGAUGUUAGUCUCCCGUGAAAUCUCUCGGCUUAACCGGGAAGCUGCGGGGGAAACGGCAUCGCUUCGAAUCCGUAAGAGGUCUGCGGAACUCAUCAUGUAGGGGUGAAAUCCGUUGAUAUGAUGGGGAACACCAAAGGCGAAGGCAGCAGGCUGGUACGGUAUUGACGCUGAAAUACGAAAGCGUGGGUAGC
RNAcentral lists this ribosomal RNA (400 nucleotides) under uncultured bacterium. RNAcentral's name for it is "bacterial SSU rRNA". It matches the Rfam family "Bacterial small subunit ribosomal RNA", at positions 355 to 769 of the family's 1533-position model. The record is from RNAcentral.